Sapajus apella (tufted capuchin) is the source of this 168-nucleotide long non-coding RNA. RefSeq lists it as uncharacterized. The record is from RefSeq and is a predicted model, not a curated record. The transcript is spliced from 3 exons. NCBI's taxonomy places the organism in Eukaryota, Metazoa, Chordata, Mammalia, Primates, Cebidae.
CAUUAGUCCUCUAGGGAAGCACAUCACUCUUGAGGCUUUGCUUCAACUUCACUGCUUCUGGAGUCUCAUCUUGAAUAAAAGAGGACCCAGUCAACUAUGAAGUUUCUUGUCUUUGCCUUUCUCUUGGCUUUCAUGGUUUCCAUGAUUGGAGCUGAUUCAUCUGAAGAG